ACGAACGCUGGCGGCGCGCCUAAUACAUGCAAGUCGAGCGAGAAGACGUAGCAAUACGUUUGUAAAGCGGCGAACGGGUGAGGAAUACAUGGGUAACCUACCCUCGAGUGGGGAAUAACUAGCCGAAAGGUUAGCUAAUACCGCGUACGCUCCUUGGACUUCGGUUCAGGGAGGAAAGCGAUACCGUGGGUAUCGCGCUCUUGGAGUGGCUCA
This 213-nucleotide ribosomal RNA is filed under the name uncultured bacterium. Its description in RNAcentral is "partial 16S ribosomal RNA". It matches the Rfam family "Bacterial small subunit ribosomal RNA", at positions 29 to 233 of the family's 1533-position model. The record is from RNAcentral.